RNAcentral lists this long non-coding RNA (1259 nucleotides) under Xyrichtys novacula (pearly razorfish). The record is from RNAcentral. Lineage: Eukaryota; Metazoa; Chordata; Actinopteri; Labriformes; Labridae.
GCACACUAUGCCAGUAUAACAGCAAAACAUAACCUCAACCCAUCUGAACCCUCUAGUUCAAACACCAUUUACUUGCACCAUUACGAAGGUGAUUGGUGGUUAUUACAAGCUAAUCUCAGUGAGAACAUCCAGAUGCUCUUUUUGUCAAGGUCAGGAUCAGAGCUGGACAGGGAGGAAGAGGAGGAGGAGGAGGGGGGUUUGAUUUUGUACCCAUCAGGCACUUGGAGCCCCUGCAAUGACGCGGCACCUGCAGCCGGGAAAGACAUAAAAUGGAGUCCCAGCUGGCCUCACAUCAGUGUGAGUCAAAAGGCCGGGGGAGGAGGAGGAGAAGGAGAGCGUGCUUCAGGCUCGAUUAGGCCUACAUCCUAUCUCCAUCUUCAGCUCUGAGCACCAUCACCAUGAGUCAUUAACACCAAAUUCACAGCUGUCACUCUGGAGUAUUUGCAGGUGGAGGCAGCGUUUUGUCGCCUGCUUUGGGGAACAACAGGGGUGGUGUGCAAAAAUGAAAUAGCUGUCUACCUCGAGAACAUCCUGUGCCUCACUCUGUGUCCUUUUUCAUUUCAGGAUAAGCAGAAAAAGCUGCCUCCACAUCACGUGUGGGUGACAAGGAGAGUGGAACUGACAUUUGCGUGCCUCAGGAGGUGGGAAGAGAUGAGGGCUGGCAGAGAGAGACACCCACCCUUUUCCACCUCAUGCUGCCAAGCAGACCAGCGUGCACCUGUCCCCUCCGGCUGAGAGGAACUGUAGGUCACUCGCUAUUGCCUCUUCCGGCCAAGAAAUGUACUUGCACUCUCAAAAACUCUACAGGCUUUUUUGGUGAUGUAGCAGUAAGCAGAGAAUGACUGAAUGAGUUCAUAACAGAAAACAGAGGUCUAGAAAGAAGGGACAGAAGGACUGGGAUGAGAGAGUGAAAGAUAAGCAGAUAGCCCGGGUGUGAAAAUGGGAGUGACAGUGACGGAGUCCCGUGCAAAGAUAAACAGCCCGGGUGCAGCCCUUGUAAUGGCUUUGAACGAGUAAUUUGUCACUCCAUGUGAAACACAAACAGCAGGGUGACACUUACCAUCGCCCAAGGGUGUCUCACCAAGACUUUCCAUCUGUCUGAACAACUGGUGAUGUCCAUUCCUCUGGUCAAGAGACAAUGAGAAAAUCUGCCUGAAACAAGGCAAGAUUUAAAGCUAUGUACAGUUGAGCUGCACUGCAUCAAAGUUAUGUAAUUGGGUGUUAAGCAGUGCUGAUAUUCCCUACAGGGGGGCUUAAAU